CAUUUGCUGGGGUAUAUGUUAAUUUUUAAUUCUCUGGUGAAUACUUCAAUUAUUUUCUUUUUGUAGUUGAAACUCCCAAUUGAAGUUGUUGAAACUAUAGAGAAACCACAAGAAGAGCUUUUCUUCUUGGCUUGUGAUCAACUAUGAUGUUUCGCGGAGCUUUCCAGGUUAUUUUCUUACUAUUUUUUUCCUUCUCAUUAUACUGAUGGAUUUACUGUUCAGGUGAAGUGCAUGUCUUCAAAUUAUUUACUGUCAUUGAAUGUAUCAUAUACUUUCUUGGUAAAUCAGUUUGCUAGACACGUAUAUUCUAUCUAUAUUGAUCAUGUGUAAGGUCUUGAUAAUGUGCAUAAUUUGUGCAUAAUUUUAGGUGGCUUAAGGGUAGCUUACAUUUUGGACCUUUGGAAGAUACCUAUAUGGGUAAUAUUAGCAACUUGAAUCAGUAGUCAAAACAGGUUAGAGCUUUCAAUACUUUGUCCUUAAUAUACUAAGGCUGUUGGGAUUUGUCCAAUUUUUAUUUUGGUGAAGUUGAUUCUUUUAACCAGAAACAUUUAUUUUUAUACCGUCAGAUAUCUCUCAUUUCGUUUAUAUGUACAUUGGUUCAAGUUUGUUUUUGUGAAGCACUUCCUUCAAAUAUCCUUUAGUUUGUUUUGUGAAAGUUUAAAGUUGAUAGAUUCCAAAUUUGUGACUGCAUUUGAAGGUAUUGACUGUUUUUAUAUGUAAAAGAGGAAAGGGAGAAUACAAAAUUGUGUUUCCCCUGCUCUUCUUAAAACUACUCUUUCAACAGAAAUAGUAGUUGAAGUUUAUUUCUUUGGUUUCAUCUGUUUUACGUACAUUAUAAUUUCCAAAGAAAGUAAUGAAAUUUAGCUUACGAUAUUUACUAAUUUUGCAACUUUUUUUUAUUAACUGGAUAAUUCAAGAGUUUGUUGUACAUUAUCUCAAAUGAUCUUUCCAAAAGCUGAUUUGUAAAUGCAGAGUUGCACUUCCUCAGUUGAGGUGAGGAGUAUAUGAUACCCAAUAUUUUGUCGCAAUGACAAAUGCAGUCAUUUGUUCUUAUGAUUUAGCAUGAAUAGAAUAUCAACUUGCUUAUCUGUAAAUAUCCUUCAAGAAAGCUCUUCAAAUUUUUUAAUGACUAUGGAAUUCACAGCUAUUUCAGGGUAAUAGCAUGCAAAUCACAAAUUUGAGGUAGCCACAUUAAACAAGUCAUGUGUGACAAGUUCGACCGAGAAAGCAUGUAAGGAGUUUUGAACUUGAGACCUCUCAUUUGGGAGGUUCCCCGCUCCCCAUAAGGCUCAUGGUCGGAAGAUUGCAAGUUCAAAUCGUGUCCCCACCUAAUCAGUGGAGUUACAACCACAUAAAGAAUGAGUACUCUGUUCUUAUUUCAUUGUACAUAAUAUUUUUUGUCAGCCAUCAAUUAAUAGUCCUAAUUAUAUAAAAGAUAUAAUCUAUUUCCUAAUUUUCCAAAUAUUAGCCCAUCGCUUCUUGUAAGCCUCUUAAAUUAGGCCUAAGAGAAGGAAAUGAAUUUUUAGAAAACUCAAAGGUGCAAAUUCAUAGUGCACGCUUGCAGGCAGUCUCAAUUAUCAUAGAUUUUUUCACCUUAGGCUUUGUGAUAUUAUUCAGUUAUAAUGUCUGGUUGUAUUGAACAUAAUACCGUAUUCGAGGAAAUUCUUUUGCUCUUUUCAGGAAAGCCACUAAAGAAUUUACCAAGUAUUUUUACAG
Molecule: long non-coding RNA, 1716 nt
Filed under: Solanum tuberosum (potato)
Lineage: Eukaryota; Viridiplantae; Streptophyta; Magnoliopsida; Solanales; Solanaceae
Description: long non-coding RNA (STUB_LNC008304)
Source: RNAcentral